Molecule: ribosomal RNA, 508 nt
Filed under: uncultured bacterium
Lineage: Bacteria
Description: bacterial SSU rRNA
Rfam family: Bacterial small subunit ribosomal RNA
Source: RNAcentral
UGGGGAAUAUUGCGCAAUGGGCGAAAGCCUGACGCAGCAACACCGCGUGAGGGAUGACGGCCUUCGGGUUGUAAACCUCUUUCAGCUCCGACGAAGCGAAAGUGACGGUAGGAGCAGAAGAAGCACCGGCUAACUACGUGCCAGCAGCCGCGGUAAUACGUAGGGUGCAAGCGUUGUCCGGAAUUAUUGGGCGUAAAGAGCUCGUAGGCGGUCCGUUGCGUCUGCCGUGAAAACCCGGAGCUCAACUCCGGGCCUGCGGUGGAUACGGGCGGACUAGAGUCCGGUAGGGGAGACUGGAAUUCCUGGUGUAGCGGGUGGAAUGCGCAGAUAUCAGGAGGAACACCGGUGGCGAAGGCGGGUCUCUGGGCCGGAACUGACGCUGAGGAGCGAAAGCGUGGGGAGCGAACAGGAUUAGAUACCCUGGGUAGUCCACACCGUAAACGAUGAAUGCCAGUCGUCGGGUAGCAUGCUAUUCGGUGACACACCUAACGGAUUAAGCAUUCCGCCU